This 51-nucleotide ribosomal RNA is filed under the name Stagonosporopsis cucurbitacearum. Its description in RNAcentral is "partial 28S ribosomal RNA". The record is from RNAcentral. Lineage: Eukaryota; Fungi; Ascomycota; Dothideomycetes; Pleosporales; Didymellaceae.
CUUGACCUCGGAUCAGGUAGGGAUACCCGCUGAACUUAAGCAUAUCAAAAG